Abrus precatorius (Indian licorice) is the source of this 1422-nucleotide RNA transcript. It is a transcript of the gene named protein TAB2 homolog, chloroplastic, with no coding region annotated. The record is from RefSeq and is a predicted model, not a curated record. The transcript is spliced from 7 exons. NCBI's taxonomy places the organism in Eukaryota, Viridiplantae, Streptophyta, Magnoliopsida, Fabales, Fabaceae.
CUCAACCACACACAAACCUCUGUUUCUCAAAAAAACACUCAUCACUUACACAUACCAUAGCCAUGACAACUCUGAGCUUCAACCCUGCAAGAAUCAGAACCCCAACAUUCAAACACUCCAAACUCUCCUCUUCAUCUAAACCCAUCACAAUUUCAUGCACCAUUUCCUCCAACAACCUACGAAACCACCCAAAACUGCUUCGCUUUCGAACCAAUUCGGUGUCUGAAAGCUCGUUGUCGAUCCAGAAAGAAGCACCUGAAGAGGUUGUCGAAGACGAAGAAGACGACCCAACUGCCGAACUAUGCUAUGUUGACCCAGCAAUCGACCCUGAAAGCAUCACAGAGUGGGAACUUGACUUCUGUUCAAGACCCAUUCUCGAUGACAGAGGGAAGAAGAUUUGGGAACUUGUUGUCUGUGACAAAACGCUGUCGUUGCAGUAUACUAAGUAUUUUCCAAAUAAUGUCAUUAAUAGCAUUACUCUGAAGGAAGCUAUUGCUGGUAUUAGUAAUGACUUGGGUGUCCCAUUGCCUCAAAACAUUCGCUUCUUUAGGUCACAGAUGAAGACAAUUAUUACAAAAGCUUGUAAUGAGCUUCGCAUAGCGCCUGUUCCUAGUAAACGGUGCGUGACAUUAAUUCUGUGGCUAGGGGAGCGCUAUGAGACCGUUUAUCGGAAGCAUCCUGGAUUUCAAGAAGGAUCCAAACCUCUUUUGGCAGUAGAUAAUCCUUUUCCAACAGAACUUCCAGAUGAUCUUUAUGGAGAAAAGUGGGCAUUUGUCCAAUUACCUUACUCAGCUGUUCGAGAGGAGGUGUCAUCCUUCAAGGCAGGAUUUCGUGGUGCUGGGUUAGAUCUUGAUUUAUUGGGUCUUGAAAUUGAUGACAAGACAUUGAUCCCAGGAUUGGCUGUUGCUUCUUCUCGUGCUACGGAAUUGGCAGCUUUGAUAAAUGAAGUGGAGGCUUGUGCUGUGGAAGCAGAUGCUGCUCGUGGUCGAUUGAUUCUUUCUGUUGGAAUUUCUACUCGGUAUGUAUAUUCCACCUAUAAGAAAACACCUGUGACAACAAGUGAAAGUGAAGGAUGGGAAGCAGCUAAGGAAGCUUGUGGAGGUAGUAGUUUGGAGCUACAUCUAGUGCAGACCUUACGCAAGAUUUGGGCCGAGGAAGGUAGUAGUAUUCUUUUGGCGUCUAUUGCUUAAUGUAGCUCCGGUGCAGAAAAACUUGACCAAUCGUAGAUUGAUCAUUCCCUCAGAAGCUUGUAAUCAAGACAGUCAGCACCGGACUCAGUGAAAGGACGGAUGGACUGUUAUAGGCUUAGAUUUUAUUUUUAAAUUGUUGUAAUUAAACUAGUCCUGUAGCAGUUAUUUGAUAUUAAUUUGUAACCCUUCACUUAUUUCAAAAUCUUUUAUGAAAAAUUUAGUUAUCCGAUUU